RNAcentral lists this ribosomal RNA (253 nucleotides) under uncultured bacterium. Its description in RNAcentral is "partial 16S ribosomal RNA". It matches the Rfam family "Bacterial small subunit ribosomal RNA", at positions 524 to 776 of the family's 1533-position model. The record is from RNAcentral.
UACGUAGGGGGCUAGCGUUGUCCGGAUUUAUUGGGCGUAAAGAGCGUGUAGGCGGCUUGGCAAGUCUGCUGUGAAAACUCGAGGCUCAACCUCGAGCUGUCGGUGGAAACUGCUUGGCUAGAGUCCGGAAGAGGAGAGUGGAAUUCCUGGUGUAGCGGUGAAAUGCGCAGAUAUCAGGAAGAACACCUAUGGCGAAGGCAGCUCUCUGGGACGGUACUGACGCUGAGACGCGAAAGCGUGGGGAGCGAACGGG